AACGAACGCUGGCGGCAUGCCUAACACAUGCAAGUCGAACGAGACCUUUGGGUCUAGUGGCGCACGGGUGCGUAACGCGUGGGAAUCUGCCCUUGGGUUCGGAAUAACAGUGAGAAAUUGCUGCUAAUACCGGAUGAUGUCUUCGGACCAAAGAUUUAUCGCCCAGGGAUGAGCCCGCGUAGGAUUAGCUAGUUGGUGGGGUAAUGGCCUACCAAGGCGACGAUCCUUAGCUGGUCUGAGAGGAUGAUCAGCCACACUGGGACUGAGACACGGCCCAGACUCCUACGGGAGGGAGCAGUGGGGAAUAUUGGACGAGGGGCGCAAGCCUGAUCCAGCAAUGCCGCGUGAGUGAUGAAGGCCUUAGGGUUGUAAAGCUCUUUUACCAGGGAUGAUAAUGACAGUACCUGGUGAAUAAGCUCCGGCUAACUCCGUG
This 433-nucleotide ribosomal RNA is filed under the name uncultured bacterium. RNAcentral's name for it is "partial 16S ribosomal RNA". It matches the Rfam family "Bacterial small subunit ribosomal RNA", at positions 29 to 507 of the family's 1533-position model. The record is from RNAcentral.